CAAGACCAGAGGGCGACCUCACUGCGUGUGGUGUCCCCCAAAUCUUGGGGUCUAGCAGGACAGAUGGAGAAGGACAGCACGGUGGCAGGAAAGUCAUUCGCCUCCUGCUGUGAGCAACCGCCAGACCACGGCUGCCCUUCAGGAUUGCUGAAGACGGGAUUCCAGAUCAAGAGCCCCUAACUCGCAUCCCCGGUCCUCAGAGGCACCGAUUCUGAUCCCUGCCCAGAAACCAGUUCUGGUUGUACAGGAUGUUCGCGUUUCUGCAAGUCUUCAUGCAGCCGAGUUUCAGUUCUGGCAGCAAAUACCCAGGUUUUAGCCAACUUCUCUGAGCCCACUCUGACGCCUGUGAAACGACGGGGGCCAGGCUGUGUCUCUCAAGUCCCAAGCUCCUCUCUCUUGCUACCCGCUCCCUACACAGAACCAUCACCACGCUCUUUGUGUGGGUGUUAAGGAGGAGGGGAAAGAAGGGACUGGAAAUAAAAAGAGCCCUGGGGUUUCCAGGUGGCAUUGAAUGAGCCA
Suricata suricatta (meerkat) is the source of this 519-nucleotide long non-coding RNA. RefSeq lists it as uncharacterized. The record is from RefSeq and is a predicted model, not a curated record. Lineage: Eukaryota; Metazoa; Chordata; Mammalia; Carnivora; Herpestidae. The transcript is spliced from 3 exons.